This 125-nucleotide ribosomal RNA is filed under the name Polyporales sp. RNAcentral describes it as "partial small subunit ribosomal RNA". It matches the Rfam family "Eukaryotic small subunit ribosomal RNA", at positions 1657 to 1779 of the family's 1831-position model. The record is from RNAcentral. Lineage: Eukaryota; Fungi; Basidiomycota; Agaricomycetes; Polyporales.
CCUUUGUACACACCGCCCGUCGCUACUACCGAUUGAAUGGCUUAGUGAGGUCUUGGGAUUGGCUUUGGGGAGCCGGCAACGGCACCCUAUUGCUAAAAACUUGAUCAAACUUGGUCAUUUAGAGG